UAGGUCCUACGGGGCGCAGCAGUGAGGAAUAUUGGUCAAUGGGCGGGAGCCUGAACCAGCCAAGCCGUGUGAGGGAAGAAGGUACGGCGUAUCGUAAACCUCUUUUGUCAGGGAACAAAGGCGGGGACUAGUCCCCGGAUGAGGGUACCUGAAGAAAAAGCAUCGGCUAACUCCGUGCCAGCAGCCGUGGUAAUACGGAGGAUGCGAGCGUUAUCCGGAUUUAUUGGGUUUAAAGGGUGCGCAGGCGGCCUGUUAAGUCAGCGGUAAAAGCCCGGGGCUCAACCCCGGCGAGCCGUUGA
Molecule: ribosomal RNA, 299 nt
Filed under: uncultured bacterium
Lineage: Bacteria
Description: partial 16S ribosomal RNA
Rfam family: Bacterial small subunit ribosomal RNA
Source: RNAcentral